RNAcentral lists this ribosomal RNA (889 nucleotides) under uncultured Bacteroidota bacterium. Its description in RNAcentral is "bacterial SSU rRNA". It matches the Rfam family "Bacterial small subunit ribosomal RNA", at positions 28 to 916 of the family's 1533-position model. Lineage: Bacteria; Pseudomonadati; Bacteroidota. The record is from RNAcentral.
GAUGAACGCUAGCGGCAGGCCUAACACAUGCAAGUCGAGGGGUAACAGAGAAGCUUGCUUCUGCUGACGACCGGCGCACGGGUGCGUAACGCGUAUGCAACCUACCUCAUACAGGAGAAUAGCCCUUGGAAACGAGGAUUAAUACUCCAUGGUAUCAUUUUUUCGCAUGUUAGAAUGAUUAAAGAAUUUCGGUAUGAGAUGGGCAUGCGUCCCAUUAGCUAGUUGGUGAGGUAACGGCUCACCAAGGCGACGAUGGGUAGGGGGCCUGAGAGGGUGGUCCCCCACACUGGUACUGAGACACGGACCAGACUCCUACGGGAGGCAGCAGUGAGGAAUAUUGGUCAAUGGAGGAAACUCUGAACCAGCCAUGCCGCGUGAAGGAUGACGGCCCUAUGGGUUGUAAACUUCUUUUAUAUGGGAAGAAACUUAUCUACGUGUAGAUAACUGACGGUACCAUACGAAUAAGGAUCGGCUAACUCCGUGCCAGCAGCCGCGGUAAUACGGAGGAUCCAAGCGUUAUCCGGAUUCAUUGGGUUUAAAGGGUCCGUAGGCGGAUUUUUAAGUCAGUGGUGAAAGCCGACAGCUCAACUGUCGAACUGCCAUUGAUACUGGAAAUCUUGAGUACAAAUGAAGUAGGCGGAAUGAGUCAUGUAGCGGUGAAAUGCAUAGAUAUGACUCAGAACACCGAUUGCGAAGGCAGCUUACUAACAUGUAACUGACGCUGAGGGACGAAAGCGUGGGGAGCGAACAGGAUUAGAUACCCUGGUAGUCCACGCCGUAAACGAUCAUCACUCGCUGUUGGCGAUAUACUGUCAGCGGCCAAGCGAAAGUAUUAAGUGAUGCACCUGGGGAGUACGCCGGCAACGGUGAAACUCAAAGGAAUUGACGG